Molecule: ribosomal RNA, 696 nt
Filed under: uncultured Actinomycetales bacterium
Lineage: Bacteria; Bacillati; Actinomycetota; Actinomycetes; Actinomycetales
Description: bacterial SSU rRNA
Rfam family: Bacterial small subunit ribosomal RNA
Source: RNAcentral
UGCAAGUCGAACGGAAAGGCCUUUUCGGAGGUACUCGAGUGGCGAACGGGUGAGUAACACGUGGGUGAUCUGCCCUGCACUCUGGGAUAAGCCUGGGAAACUGGGUCUAAUACCGGAUAGGACCGCACUUUAGUGUGUGUGGUGGAAAGUUUUUUCGGUGUAGGAUGAGCCCGCGGCCUAUCAGCUUGUUGGUGGGGUAAUGGCCUACCAAGGCGGCGACGGGUAGCCGGACUGAGAGGUUGGUCGGCCACAUUGGGACUGAGAUACGGCCCAGACUCCUACGGGAGGCAGCAGUGGGGAAUAUUGCACAAUGGGCGCAAGCCUGAUGCAGCGACGCCGCGUGGGGGAUGACGGCCUUCGGGUUGUAAACUCCUUUCGCCAGGGACGAAGCGUUUUGUGACGGUACCUGGAGAAGAAGCACCGGCUAACUACGUGCCAGCAGCCGCGGUAAUACGUAGGGUGCAAGCGUUGUCCGGAAUUACUGGGCGUAAAGAGCUCGUAGGUGGUUUGUCACGUCGUCUGUGAAAUUCCACAGCUUAACUGUGGGCGUGCAGGCGAUACGGGCUGACUUGAGUACUGUAGGGGUAACUGGAAUUCCUGGUGUAGCGGUGAAAUGCGCAGAUAUCAGGAGGAACACCGAUGGCGAAGGCAGGUUACUGGGCAGUUACUGACGCUGAGGAGCGAAAGCAUGGGUAG